AAGCGGGAAGAGGUCGACUUGGGCCCCCGGGACUGGGGGUAGAGAGAAGGGGAGGGAGGCGUCAGCUCCGGGGCUGGGACCAAUCCGACCCGGCAGAGGCAGGAAAGAGAAUCCCCCGGUCAGUCAGACUGCGAACACCCCACAAACCCCACCUCUCAGAUUUUCCCACCGCUAGAUACAUUCUCUCCUUUCCCCCGCGCUCAAAUGAAUGCUGCAGCCACCGGUCGAACAUUUUCCACACCUGGAAAAUUGGCACUGCCAACCAUUCCCUAGCCCAUAAAUCUUUCCCCUCGAUCUGGGCAGCUUCCUUCUCUGCAGAUGUUGGCAAUCAGGUUUGCAAAAUUUCAAAGUCAUUCAUUGCAGAAGGGUGAAGGGAGGCAGUUGAUUGCAGCAGCACACACAAAAUCUUGUCACCUUAGCAAAGUCUACUGUCAUCACAGCAACCCCCUUCUCCACACCCCAGGAAAAAAAAAGUCUUGAACCGCAGAAGGGCAGGGGGUCUCCGCACAACUUUGCAGACGACAGCUGCGACAUCAAAGAGCCACAAUCGAACAAGGCAAUUCACCACCCCGAGUCAGUAGAGCCCUCUGCUACCCUCCCCCGCAGUUCUGAAGCUCAGUCCCGGUACAGCUAGGAGUCUGACUGCCCAACAUCUGGGAAUCAGUCAGCGGUAGGAGUUCAGAGACUGAGACAGUGGAAAAGAGGAGAGUGACUGGAUGUUAUUAAACAUACUGGAGUUUCCAAAAGUCUUAGUAAACAAAUC
Long non-coding RNA from Sarcophilus harrisii (Tasmanian devil), 763 nucleotides. RefSeq lists it as uncharacterized. NCBI's taxonomy places the organism in Eukaryota, Metazoa, Chordata, Mammalia, Dasyuromorphia, Dasyuridae. The record is from RefSeq and is a predicted model, not a curated record. The transcript is spliced from 2 exons.